GCUUGCACCGAGAUUCAACAUGGAACGAGUGGCGGACGGGUGAGUAACACGUGGGUAACCUGCCCUUAAGUGGGGGAUAACAUUUGGAAACAGAUGCUAAUACCGCAUAGAUCCAAGAACCGCAUGGUUCUUGGCUGAAAGAUGGCGUAAGCUAUCGCUUUUGGAUGGACCCGCGGCGUAUUAGCUAGUUGGUGAGGUAAUGGCUCACCAAGGCGAUGAUACGUAGCCGAACUGAGAGGUUGAUCGGCCACAUUGGGACUGAGACACGGCCCAAACUCCUACGGGAGGCAGCAGUAGGGAAUCUUCCACAAUGGACGCAAGUCUGAUGGAGCAACGCCGCGUGAGUGAAGAAGGCUUUCGGGUCGUAAAACUCUGUUGUUGGAGAAGAAUGGUCGGCAGAGUAACUGUUGUCGGCGUGACGGUAUCCAACCAGAAAGCCACGGCUAACUACGUGCCAGCAGCCGCGGUAAUACGUAGGUGGCAAGCGUUAUCCGGAUUUAUUGGGCGUAAAGCGAGCGCAGGCGGUUUUUUAAGUCUGAUGUGAAAGCCCUCGGCUUAACCGAGGAAGCGCAUCGGAAACUGGGAAACUUGAGUGCAGAAGAGGACAGUGGAACUCCAUGUGUAGCGGUGAAAUGCGUAGAUAUAUGGAAGAACACCAGUGGCGAAGGCGGCUGUCUGGUCUGUAACUGACGCUGAGGCUCGAAAGCAUGGGUAGCGAACAGGAUUAGAUACCCUGGUAGUCCAUGCCGUAAACGAUGAAUGCUAGGUGUUGGAGGGUUUCCGCCCUUCAGUGCCGCAGCUAACGCAUUAAGCAUUCCGCCUGGGGAGUACGACCGCAAGGUUGAAACUCAAAGGAAUUGACGGGGGCCCGCACAAGCGGUGGAGCAUGUGGUUUAAUUCGAAGCAACGCGAAGAACCUUACCAGGUCUUGACAUCUUUUGAUCACCUGAGAGAUCAGGUUUCCCCUUCGGGGGCAAAAUGACAGGUGGUGCAUGGUUGUCGUCAGCUCGUGUCGUGAGAUGUUGGGUUAAGUCCCGCAACGAGC
RNAcentral lists this ribosomal RNA (1045 nucleotides) under Lacticaseibacillus paracasei. Its description in RNAcentral is "bacterial SSU rRNA". It matches the Rfam family "Bacterial small subunit ribosomal RNA", at positions 66 to 1097 of the family's 1533-position model. Lineage: Bacteria; Bacillati; Bacillota; Bacilli; Lactobacillales; Lactobacillaceae. The record is from RNAcentral.